Molecule: long non-coding RNA, 277 nt
Organism: Crotalus tigris (Tiger rattlesnake)
Lineage: Eukaryota; Metazoa; Chordata; Lepidosauria; Squamata; Viperidae
Exons: 3
Source: RefSeq, a predicted model, not a curated record
AGCGGAUCCUGUUCACCUGACUUAUCCCAGAAAUUUGCCAGAAAUUUUUCUCUGCAAUCAACUCCCAGAAAAAUACAACUCUCCAGAAAAGAUGUCAAAAAGAAGAACACUGGGAUUUAGAGAAAUGGAUGAGUCACUCUAAGUUAAAGGUCCCUUGCAGUUCUAAUUAGUAGCUUCCUACUUAAAGAUGGUGCUGGAGAAGACUCCUGCGAGUCCCCUGGACUGCAAGGCGUUUGAACCGGUCAGUCCUAGAAGAGAUCAACCCUGACUGCUCUUU